Molecule: long non-coding RNA, 228 nt
Filed under: Elaeis guineensis (African oil palm)
Lineage: Eukaryota; Viridiplantae; Streptophyta; Magnoliopsida; Arecales; Arecaceae
Description: long non-coding RNA (EGUI_LNC027173)
Source: RNAcentral
AGAGAAAAAGAAAGAAAAGAGAGAAAAUUGGGCACAGGGUUUUUGGUGUGUACCCUAGGGUUUCUACCUAGGGUUCGGGAAGUGAGAUUGGUGUGCCACGAGUGUCGUGAGUCCACCAAAUUUUAGAAAGAGAUCCAUCAGCCUCUCAAGUAACUGUGCAGAUGAUCUGGAGCAUCCGAGAAGUCGGCACACAUCGAUCGAAGGAGUUCGAUCAACAUCUGCCAUCAA